RNAcentral lists this ribosomal RNA (292 nucleotides) under uncultured bacterium. RNAcentral's name for it is "partial 16S ribosomal RNA". It matches the Rfam family "Bacterial small subunit ribosomal RNA", at positions 505 to 796 of the family's 1533-position model. The record is from RNAcentral.
GUGUCAGCCGCCGCGGUAAUACGAAGGGGGCUAGCGUUGCUCGGAAUCACUGGGCGUAAAGGGCGCGUAGGCGGAUCUUUAAGUCGGGGGUGAAAGCCUGAGGCUCAACCUCAGAAUUGCCUUCGAUACUGGAGAUCUUGAGACCGGAAGAGGUGAGUGGAACUGCGAGUGUAGAGGUGAAAUUCGUAGAUAUUCGCAAGAACACCAGUGGCGAAGGCGGCUCACUGGUCCGGUUCUGACGCUGAGGCGCGAAAGCGUGGGGAGCAAACAGGAUUAGAAACCCUUGUAGUCC